CCUACGGGGUGCAGCAGUGGGGAAUAUUGGGCAAUGGGCGAAAGCCUGAACCAGCCACGUCGCGUGAAGGAAGAAGGCUUUCGGGUUGUAAACUCCUUUUGAUAGGGAAGAGCAGAAGACGGUACCUGUCCAAUAAGCCACGGCCAUCUACGUGCCAGCCGCCGCCGUAAUACGUAGGUGGCAAGCGUUGCCCGGAUUGACUGGGUGUAAAGGGCGUGUAGGCGGGCUGACAAGUCAGAUGUGAAAUCCGGGGUCUCAACCCCCGAACUGCAUUUGAAACUGUUGGUCUUGAGUAUGGGAGAGGUAGGCGGAAUUCUUGGUGUAGCGGUGAAAUGCGUAGAUAUUAGGAGGAACACCAGUGGCGAAGGCGGCCUGUUGGACGACAACUGACGGUGAGGCGCGAAAGCGUGGGGAGCAAACAGGAUUAGAUACCCCUGUAGUC
RNAcentral lists this ribosomal RNA (442 nucleotides) under uncultured bacterium. Its description in RNAcentral is "partial 16S ribosomal RNA". It matches the Rfam family "Bacterial small subunit ribosomal RNA", at positions 338 to 795 of the family's 1533-position model. The record is from RNAcentral.